CCGCCGCUCAACCUCGCGAUUAACAAGCUCCAUAUUGGCCGGAAAACGUCCCAUCGAGAUUUCUUUGGUGAGUUCGCGCUUCACCAGUACCCUGAUUUCAUUACGGCUGCGUUCUGCAUCACGUUUCACUGAAUAUGGGGGGACCAUCCUCCAAGGCUAAAUACUCCUGACUGACCGAUAGUGAACCAGUACCGUGAGGGAAAGGCGAAAAGAACCCCGGCGAGGGGAGUGAAAAAGAACCUGAAACCGUGUAC
Molecule: ribosomal RNA, 254 nt
Filed under: Salmonella enterica subsp. enterica serovar Anatum
Lineage: Bacteria; Pseudomonadati; Pseudomonadota; Gammaproteobacteria; Enterobacterales; Enterobacteriaceae
Description: partial 23S ribosomal RNA
Rfam family: Bacterial large subunit ribosomal RNA
Source: RNAcentral